RNAcentral lists this ribosomal RNA (253 nucleotides) under uncultured bacterium. RNAcentral describes it as "partial 16S ribosomal RNA". It matches the Rfam family "Bacterial small subunit ribosomal RNA", at positions 524 to 776 of the family's 1533-position model. The record is from RNAcentral.
UACAGAGGUCUCAAGCGUUGUUCGGACUCAUUGGGCGUAAAGGGCGCGUAGGCGGCCCUCCUUGUCGCGUGUGAAAGCCCCGGGCUCAACCUGGGAACGGCGCGCGAGACGGGGGGGCUGGAGUUCGGGAGAGGAGCGUGGAAUUCCCAGUGUAGAGGUGAAAUUCGUAGAUAUUGGGAAGAACACCGGUGGCGAAGGCGGCGCUCUGGACCGAGACUGACGCUGAGGCGCGAAAGCGUGGGGAGCAAACAGG